This is a long non-coding RNA of Hibiscus syriacus, 218 nucleotides long. RefSeq lists it as uncharacterized. The transcript has 3 exons. Lineage: Eukaryota; Viridiplantae; Streptophyta; Magnoliopsida; Malvales; Malvaceae. The record is from RefSeq and is a predicted model, not a curated record.
UAAUGAAAGAAGAUCUGGUGUAGUAAAUACUACAGAUGAUGGCUCAGAAAAUAAAAACUUUAUUAAGUGUUAUAGGUGUGGUAAAUUUGGGGACAUCAAGAGGAAUUGUAAAGUCAAGAUUUCCAAAGUAAAUGUUGCAAGUGAAAGUGAAUAAAAACAACUUAAAUGGGAGCAAUGCUUCACCAUAGAAGAUGUUGAAGGUAGAGACGAAAAAUCAA